RNAcentral lists this long non-coding RNA (279 nucleotides) under Arabidopsis lyrata. Its description in RNAcentral is "long non-coding RNA (ALYR_LNC002053)". Lineage: Eukaryota; Viridiplantae; Streptophyta; Magnoliopsida; Brassicales; Brassicaceae. The record is from RNAcentral.
UUACGUCCGUUCGAGGGAGUUAUCUGAGCAUCAGGACGUGGUUCAGGGUGCGGUCCGGUAGCUGCCGCGGUAGGUCCUUCCGGCGUCGGGGGUAGCGAAGGCGGUGCGGCUGCGGGCGUGCAUGCUUCUCCUCCCGAGCUGGAGGCACUUGCGCCGAGUGCGUUGUGGAAUGCGUCUGUCAUCUUUGCUGUUUCGUCGGUUCGUAGUUUUGAGAGAAAUCUUCGAGCUUCUCCCCUACCUGGCGCGCCAACUGUUGAUCCUCAAAAUCAAACAAGUACG